CGGGUGAGUAACACGUGGAUAACCUACCUAUAAGACUGGGAUAACUUCGGGAAACCGGAGCUAAUACCGGAUAAUAUUUUGAACCGCAUGGUUCAAAAGUGAAAGACGGUCUUGCUGUCACUUAUAGAUGGAUCCGNGCUGCAUUAGCUAGUUGGUAAGGUAACGGCUUACCAAGGCAACGAUGCAUAGCCGCCUGAGAGGGUGAUCGGCCACACUGGAACUGAGACACGGUCCAGACUCCUACGGGAGGCAGCAGC
Molecule: ribosomal RNA, 257 nt
Filed under: uncultured Staphylococcus sp.
Lineage: Bacteria; Bacillati; Bacillota; Bacilli; Caryophanales; Staphylococcaceae
Description: partial 16S ribosomal RNA
Rfam family: Bacterial small subunit ribosomal RNA
Source: RNAcentral